This is a small nuclear RNA of Hippoglossus stenolepis (Pacific halibut), 156 nucleotides long. RefSeq annotates it as U1 spliceosomal RNA. The transcript has a single exon. The record is from RefSeq and is a predicted model, not a curated record. NCBI's taxonomy places the organism in Eukaryota, Metazoa, Chordata, Actinopteri, Pleuronectiformes, Pleuronectidae.
AUACUUACCUGGCAGGAGAUACCAUGAUCAUAAGGUGGUUCACCCAGGCGAGACUCAGCCAUUGACGCCGGUUGUGGCUGACCGUGCGAAUUACCCAAAUGUGGGAAUCUGACUGCAUAAUUUGUGGUAGUGGGGAAUAAAUCGGCGCUCUCCCCU